RNAcentral lists this ribosomal RNA (528 nucleotides) under Triticum aestivum (bread wheat). Its description in RNAcentral is "partial small subunit ribosomal RNA". The record is from RNAcentral. Lineage: Eukaryota; Viridiplantae; Streptophyta; Magnoliopsida; Poales; Poaceae.
AUGGUUGAGAUAUUUGAUCCUAGCAAGGGCAGAUUCAUUGUACAAGACUUGGUUGGCGAAGUGUCUCUCGGUGCCGUGGAUGUUGAGUGCAUCUUGGCCUUGGAGAACCACGGACUGUCGGCAGAAGGUAUUCUCGGUGAGGAAGGUGAGGAUGUUAAAGAUCGAGUGCCGCCUCAAUUCCUGAGCAAGACCACAGGUAACAUAGUCAUCGAUGAUCUGAUUGUGGACAUCACAAAAAAUAAAUCUGCCGACGACGAUUUCCUUCGGAGAGUUGUCCUCGUGUUGCUUGGAACAGUUCUCGCUCCCAUGUCGAGCAAGACUGUACCAAAGCAAUAUUACGCAUUGGUGGACGAUGUGAAGCGUAUAUCCAAGAUUAAUUGGAAUGCAUUCACCCUCCGGGUUCUGCUGGACUGCCUUCGCAACGUGAGGAAAGGCAAACACCUCCACCAAUGGCCGAGAGGGAACUUAGCUCUCCUGCAGGUACACCUUUCAGACAUGUACCAUUGCAAAAAAAAAUAUGAUUGCUAA